AGUGAACGCUGGCGGUAGGCCUAACACAUGCAAGUCGAACGGCAGCACAGUAAGAGCUUGCUCUUACGGGUGGCGAGUGGCGGACGGGUGAGGAAUACAUCGGAAUCUACUUUUUCGUGGGGGAUAACGUAGGGAAACUUACGCUAAUACCGCAUACGACCUACGGGUGAAAGCAGGGGAUCUUCGGACCUUGCGCGAUUGAAUGAGCCGAUGUCGGAUUAGCUAGUUGGCGGGGUAAAGGCCCACCAAGGCGACGAUCCGUAGCUGGUCUGAGAGGAUGAUCAGCCACACUGGAACUGAGACACGGUCCAGACUCCUACGGGAGGCAGCAGUGGGGAAUAUUGGACAAUGGGCGAAAGCCUGAUCCAGCCAUACCGCGUGGGUGAAGAAGGCCUUCGGGUUGUAAAGCCCUUUUGUUGGGAAAGAAAAGCAGCAGGUUAAUACCCCGCUGCUCUGACGGUACCCAAAGAAUAAGCACCGGCUAACUUCGUG
This 492-nucleotide ribosomal RNA is filed under the name uncultured bacterium. RNAcentral's name for it is "partial 16S ribosomal RNA". It matches the Rfam family "Bacterial small subunit ribosomal RNA", at positions 29 to 507 of the family's 1533-position model. The record is from RNAcentral.